Molecule: non-coding RNA, 1506 nt
Organism: Oryza sativa Japonica Group (Japanese rice)
Lineage: Eukaryota; Viridiplantae; Streptophyta; Magnoliopsida; Poales; Poaceae
Source: RefSeq, a predicted model, not a curated record
AUCCCAGCGCCACUGUGCCACCGCAACGCCCACCGCGGCGACUGACGGGGGAGCCCGCGCGCUGCUCCUCCCCCCGCCACCCGCGCGCCGCCAUCCCCCGCCGCCCACGCGCAGCUCCUCCCCCCGUCGCCAGCGCACUGUCCUCUGCCGUCCGCACGCCGCCCCUUCCCCGCCGCCUAUCUGCAACUCCUCCCCCGCCGCCGUCUCGUGGGACUCGUGGGUGGUGGCCGGCAGGGGAGCCCGCGCGCCGCUCCUCCCCCCACCGCCCGCGCACCGUCCUCACCUUCCCUCCCCCACCACCACCUCCAAGAAAUGCUUUCCCCGCCGGAUCCCCCCGCGGCGCGGUGGCCGGCGUCCUCCUCCUCCUCCGCCGCCGCAUCGACGGUGUGCCCCACUGCUCCCUCCCGGCCGCCUCCGCGGUGUCGUCCACUCGUCCCUGCAAGUGUGAGAGCUGAGAGCGAGAGGAAGGAAAGAGAAACAGAGAAAGAGAAAGGGGAAGAGAGAGGGUGACGUGGGCACCUUACAUGUGGGGCCCACGUGGGUCUCACGCUGACUCAGCCGCCACGUUAGAUAAAAUCGGGAUCGAAACCGCCGAGGGAUCUAUUGUAAAAUUUUGUAUAGUUGAGGGACCUUGCAUAUCUUGGUUUGCGGUUUGAGGAAGUUUUCUUAUCUGGACGACAAGUCGAGGGACAUUGAGUGUACUUUUUCCUUUCUCCCUUGAUUUUGUGGGCCGUUUGUCGUUAAUAUGGCCCAUUAUUUGUUGGCCAGUUCGUUGGCUGGGCCUUGGCCUGGGUCAUAAGGCCAGUUUACCUGAGUGAACCGCGGGCGGCGCCUGAAGAGUGAAGACAAUCGGCAGUGGCGUGACACGGCUGAAACUUCGCCGGUGACUGUUUGCUUUCCGCAUCGCGUGUAGUAGUAAAAUUUUGGAAAGCGGACAGAAUACUGGUCUACUGCUACUGGAGAUGGAAAAUCCGAGUAAUACCGAUUCUGAUCAGUAGAAGCGGUCAAGACACGGCAGAGCAAGGCGCUAGAUGUGAGUCAUGUGACACUGCUGAAGAGUUGUGAUUUUUGAGGCCACUGUCCAGGGGCCCAACUGCCCAAGCCGGCUGUACUCGUCGUAGGCAAAACAUGGCCACCCGCUGUUCGCUCUGAGUAGAGAGGAUAUCUUCGAUUCUUCAUUGGUGAUAUGUGUUCCAAGCAGGAACAACCCGCGAAACUCGCCGUGUUCGUACAACUGGUGUUGCUGCUGCUAUGCUAUGGAGUUGGCAACAAUGUCGUCGUGACGUCGUCCAUUGCUCAACUGUCCGCGAGAACAACAUAGAUCUACAAUCGCUGAUUGAUUUCAAGAAGGGUAUCACUGAAGAUCCAGGAGGAGUCUUGCUCUCUUGGAACACUAGGACCCAUUUCUGUUGGUGGAAUGGUGUCAUAUGGGUGGUGUGUGGUCAUAAUAGUACUGGACAAGUAGCCGUAUAGAUGAACAAAGAGCUUAAUCCACAUACCAGUUAA